UUUCUAUCUUUCUAUCAAUUGAUAAUUUCUUACUACUAUAAAAUUAAUUUUAUUUUUUAUUUGACAUAUAUUUUUAUAUAUCACCUUAAAUCAUUUUGGGAACCAGGCAGAAGUUAUUUGAUAAGCUUAUUCUUUUUUUUUUUUUUUCCUGGUGAAAACUAACUUGAAAUGGAGCUUUUCUUUUAUUUUAUUUUUUGUAUAAUGAUUUUUAUUUUUUUCCACUACAGCUGAUUGAUAAGCUUUUUCUCCUACACAAUUUUAUUCUCUCAUUUUUUCCCCCUCCUUGUCUGUGGUUCAUCAUUUCCUUUGCAGUCUUGAUUUUUGAUCUGACCAUCACUUUGACCUGUAACAGGAGGAAACAAGUCCAGGUAUGGUCCCAGUUCCGCAUUUAGCAGCUGUUACCCCAGAAACAUCCGUAAUUAUACUUACUUAAAUUAGAACUGUUCUUAUGAUAGGGACAAGGUGACGCACAGACACUAUCCUGAAUGUGAUAGUCUUAGCAUAAUUCCUCGUCCGUACUAUCCCCUCAAUAAAUAUUACUUGACUCAUGAAUAAUAAAAUACCGCGGUCACCAUCAUGACCGAAUUUUUGUCACGCACACAGCAAUGACAACGCAUGAGUAGGAUUUCUGAGAAACCUCUUCUUUCUGGCUCAGACUUUUUCCCCUGGUCCUGACGUGUGAUGCCAUUCAUCAAACACAUAUGUGAACAUUUUUAGAUGAGGACGAUGAUGAUUUAAUUAAACCCCUCUCCUUUUUUUUUUUUUUUUUUUUUUUUUGUCUUUUGUCGUUGUUGUUGUUGUUGUUGUUGCUAUUUCUUGGGCCGCUCCCGCGGCAUAUGGAGGUUCCCAGGCUAGGGGUCCAAUCGGAGCUGUAGCCACCGGCCUACGCCAGAGCCACGGCAACGCGGGAUCCGAGCCGCGUCUACAACCUACACCACAGCUCACGGCAACGCCGGAUCGUUAACCCACUGAGCAAGGGCAGGGACCAAACCCGCAACCUCAUGGUUCCUAGUCGGAUUCGUUAACCACUGCGCCACGACAAGAACUCCCCACCCCCCUCCUUCUUGAGUGAAUAAAGCCUUCUAGACGGCCACCUCUAUUUUGCCUUUUUAUUAUGCAUUUCCCCAAGGACACGCCUUGGUUUCUCCGGAAUGUUCAGUCAACCUUCGUUGCGAGCAUGCCCCCCAUUUUUCCCUGCCAACUCUGAUAAGGGAAGUGGGAGGAAGGGAUUGGUGUCCGGGGGAAGUUCAAUGUCCAAGGUGCUCCCCCUUCCGUCAGCUGGGAUGGCACAUAACAAGAACUUAAGCUUCAAAGGUUUUCACUCCCACAGGAAACUAUAGGACCUGCCGUGUUCAAGUGGGCUGACGAUCCCCCAGCAAAGCAUUCCUGGCAGUCUCCCCUUCACCCUCACUUCUUCUGAUUUAUGCCUGUAUCUUUGACCUUCUUUCGCUCUUCAUAAAAAGCAUUAAGUUGCCCUUCUAUAGCAGGGGCCAGCAGAUAAAUGUUAGAUUUAACAGGAGGCCCCCACUCGGGAAUGGACAUAGAGACCUCUCGGGUGCAGAAUGCUGCAAAACAUGUAGGUUUUGAUAUACUUCAGUUGUGUGCGGAGAAAUAAUGAAGGGACCGAGUCCUAAGAGCAAAAUUAAACUUUCCAUAGACAGAACAUAGCUGCAUUUUAAGUAACCACUUUAAAGACACGACUGCUGUUUUGGCAAAAGCUAGGAAGCCACACAAAAUUAAUUUCAUGUUUCAUUGACAUUACUUUCAGGAAUUUCAUGUUGACAUAACCUAUAGAGUAAGGGUGAGAGACUGCAGACAAUGUAUUUAAUGCUGCUACACCAACACAAAAUAUUUUAAAUGUGAACAGAGACCCAACUUUGUAAAAUAUUCAUGUUCUGUGUAAAACAAAAGAAUAAGACCACAAUUUCCGCAUCGGUUGUUUAUAUGCUAAUUGCUUCUAGUGCAAAUGUUUAAAUCCAACUGUGAACCAUUUCCAUGGCUCCUGUGUUGAACAUCGGAUACAGCUCAACCUAUCUCUCAUUUUAUCUUCCAUGUAAGUAGUGAAGCUAUUAUAGGAUUGAUACGUUAGAAAUACCAACCAGUGUGUGAUUAAUGUGUGUGCUGUGUUAACAAGAAGCCCCCCAAGAACACACACAUUCAAUGAAAUAGUUGCUUUUCUGCAAGAGACAAAGGAGGGGGAAGGGAAGUUGCCCGCUUUGGCCACUCGUAUGUCUCUGUGUCCCCACUCUGCAUUAGCAUCUGUCACCAGGGACCCACCAUCGGAGAAGCUCACUCCAUGACCAAGGUUCUCGCUGGCUCUGAGGCAACAGGCAUUGUUUUUAGAAUGCAGUUUUUGUUUCUACUUCUUGGCUCCCAAAGCUGCUCAAAAAGUCACAUAUUAGCAAUUUCCUGCCUUUGCGAUGGCUUCUCAGCUAGUUUCCAUCAUCUAAACGUAUGCAUCAGCACGUCCGCCAAGAGUUACUUUAUCCUCUUGGCUUGUACUGUGUGCUCUUUCCAGCAGGCUAUAGGGCCGGGGGUCCAUUUAGUCUGGCAGGAUGUGGAGACCACUUGGUAGUACAGGAAUCUCCGCAUUGGCUAGGGGAUUGAAGUUCUUUGGAUGAUUUCCAAAUGUCACAGUGACAGUCAUUGCUGGAGGCCACGGGAGGAUUUUCCUCUUGUGAUUUAGGAUCGCCAUGUGCAUUCACAGGUUAUUGCUGAAAUAAUGCUGCCACAAGCCACCCCAAACUCAAUACAAUAAUGGUAACUCUGGCUCACACAUCUCCUGGUCGGCUGGGGGUCAGCUGAUCUAAAUUGGUCUCCGUUAGGCACAGCCCCACUUUUCAGGUGGCAUCUGGGUCUGCCCCGCGUGUUUCUCAUCAUCCGAUGGUAACCUAGCCACGACAUACUUGCCUCGUGGCAGCGGCAGAUGCAUAACGAGGGACAAGUGGAAACACACAGAACUGGCAACUGCCACUUCUGCCCUUAUUCCACUCACUGGUCGAAUCAAAUCAAUUGGCUGAACCUAAAGCUUCAGGGAUUGAACCUGUAUCCUCAUGGAAACGAGCCAGGUUUGCAACCCGCUGAGCCACAUUGGGAACUCUCCAUAAUCUUAUUUUUGAUUAGCUCUUGUUUUUUUGCGUCAACUCUAUUUUCAGUUCACAGCUUUGUCUAAACUUGUGUGUGUGUGUAUUAGAAUAUCCUGAGUCACUUCCACUGAUACUGUCCCCUCCGUUCACACCCACUGGCUUAAGUUACCUAUGGCAUAUAGUAUAUAUGGUGUAUGGGCCUAUAUAUGUCCUACUUCAUAAGGUAAGGACUGCUGAAUUCUUUAUUAAGGUAACUACAAAAGUGAAAGAUCCAGGGAACAUUUCACAAAGUCAUCACAUUCCAUAACUUAGAAUACAAGAUUUUCUCAUGUACAUACAAAAAAUUUGUCUCGGAUAUAUUGUCACACACAUCAACUUUAGCUUUCCUUUUAACUGGUCUGAGAAAAAAGCACCAGAGCUUUUGAAAAAUUGAAAGUGAUAUGUAGUUGAAAGUGGUCAUUUUUGUAAAGAAGCAAAAUUACUUAUAUUCCUAGCAAUUUUUAGUAUCGAAUUAUAAACUGUUUCUUUAUUAUGGUCUGAAAUCAAGUAAGGCAUUUAGGUCUUUGCGUGGCAGCAUAGAAUUUUAAAAUAAGCUGCACCAAGAACUUAAAACUCGCUUCUUCCUCUUCCCCAUUUAUCAUUUGUGCUGUUAUGAUUCUUAAUUUACAUGUUUACUCAUUCACUUGCAUUUUUACCACCAACUAUCUGUGGAGAAGUUUCAAAUAUAGUUGCCAAUGAGCAGGUCUCUCGAUAUUAACAAAGCUUGUGUCUUGCUGAGAGAGACUGAUGUAC
Molecule: long non-coding RNA, 3878 nt
Filed under: Sus scrofa (pig)
Lineage: Eukaryota; Metazoa; Chordata; Mammalia; Artiodactyla; Suidae
Description: lncRNA (ENSSSCG00000062500.1)
Source: RNAcentral